CUUUCUUUUUUCUAUUGCCUUACAAAACUUCUUAAUUAUUGGCUUAUUGCCUGUACAACAUAGUAUGAAGGGCAGGAGUCAAAAUCAGACUAUUAUUGCUCCGCCUUGUGGAGAACAAAAAAGAAUGAAAGAAUUUCAAAACCGUUAUACCUCCCCAGUAACCUGUACAAAACCUAUUCAUCUAUAAAACAAUUAAAGAAAGAUUUACAGAGAUAUAUACACCAUGUACUGGUUAGUCUUCCAGGCGUUGUAUCUCACCCAUCAUGAUACGGUUGCUGGAAACCUUGAAGCCAAGAAGAGCAGGAUCUAUCUGCCUUCCCUUCUUUCCUUUCUUUUUCGCACUUUGUGCUGCUUGUGAACCAUCAGAUGACUCCAGAGCAGCCACAUUAGCUGCAUCAGCCUCAGAAAGAACUGAUUUUUUAAGCACAUCUAUAAAUGAUGUCUCUGACACAGUAGCAUCACUGUAAGAAGAGGUCCUCCUAAAACGCAUUUCUUUCUUCCCAGAUGCCUGCAUUUCACCAACCGAGGCUGCUGCUACAUUCCCCUCAGACAAAUGCCUUUUUUCAUUAGAAGUUGGAAGGUUCAUUGUGCUUCUCUGCUUGACAUUUGAAGCGGAGGCCAAGUCUGGCAAACCAUCCUCGGAAGAUAAUCCCCGUGAUACGGGCAGACGUUUAUGUAAAGUAUUAUCAACCCCUUUGGUUGGUAUAGAAGGUACACUAUCAUUAGAAACCUCCCCUCCAGAUGAUAUAUUGUUUCCCAUCUUGCAGCUGUAGAUGCCUUGAUUUCCGCCAGCAAUGCUUAGCAAACUAUGCCUGCUUGGUAUCCUCCCCAAAUCCGUUGCAGCUUCUGCCUGCUCAACCAAGUUGUCUUCAAUUUGUGAAGCUGACCUGCACAUUGGAACCAUAGCUUUGGACCCAUAUAUACUUCCCUUUCUUUCCAGUUCUGGCAAGUCUUCGUCCAAUGUUGAUUUACCAAUAAAUCUGGCAUCCACAUAACUAGUAUGAGAAGGAUCUCUUGCGCCUGACAAGAAUGUCUGUUCUUCAAUUAGUGCUCCAGAAUUUGACUUUGAGAGCAAUCUUUCACCAUUUUGACCACU
This 1096-nucleotide unclassified non-coding RNA is filed under the name Hevea brasiliensis (rubber tree). Lineage: Eukaryota; Viridiplantae; Streptophyta; Magnoliopsida; Malpighiales; Euphorbiaceae. The record is from RNAcentral.